This 450-nucleotide ribosomal RNA is filed under the name uncultured bacterium. Its description in RNAcentral is "bacterial SSU rRNA". It matches the Rfam family "Bacterial small subunit ribosomal RNA", at positions 330 to 793 of the family's 1533-position model. The record is from RNAcentral.
CCCAGACUCCUACGGGAGGCAGCAGUGGGGAAUAUUGCACAAUGGGGGAAACCCUGAUGCAGCGACGCCGCGUGAGCGAAGAAGUAUUUCGGUAUGUAAAGCUCUAUCAGCAGGGAAGAAAAAAAUGACGGUACCUGAAGAAGAAGCCCCGGCUAACUACGUGCCAGCAGCCGCGGUAAUACGUAGGGGGCAAGCGUUAUCCGGAUUUACUGGGUGUAAAGGGGGCGCAGACGGCGAUGCAAGCCAGGAGUGAAAGCCCGGGGCCCAACCCCGGGACUGCUCUUGGAACUGCGUGGCUGGAGUGCAGGAGGGGCAGGCGGAAUUCCUGGUGUAGCGGUGAAAUGCGUAGAUAUCAGGAGGAACACCGGUGGCGAAGGCGGCCUGCUGGACUGCAACUGACGUUGAGGCCCGAAAGCGUGGGGAGCAAACGGGAUUAGAUACCCGAGUAAG